Molecule: ribosomal RNA, 423 nt
Filed under: uncultured bacterium
Lineage: Bacteria
Description: bacterial SSU rRNA
Rfam family: Bacterial small subunit ribosomal RNA
Source: RNAcentral
UAAGGAAUAUUGGUCAAUGGACGCAAGUCUGAACCAGCCAUGCCGCGUGAAGGAUGAAGGCCCUCUGGGUUGUAAACUUCUUUUACAGGGGAAGAAAAACAAGAAUUAUUUCUUGCUUGACGGUACCUUGGGAAUAAGCACCGGCUAACUCCGUGCCAGCAGCCGCGGUAAUACGGAGGGUGCAAGCGUUAUCCGGAUUCACUGGGUUUAAAGGGUGCGUAGGUGGGUCUGUAAGUCAGUGGUGAAAUCUCCGGGCUUAACCCGGAAACUGCCAUUGAUACUAUAGGUCUUGAAUUUUCUGGAGGUGAGCGGAAUAUGUCAUGUAGCGGUGAAAUGCUUAGAUAUGACAUAGAACACCAAUUGCGAAGGCAGCUCACUACAGGAAUAUUGACACUGAGGCACGAAAGCGUGGGGAUCAAACAG